This 416-nucleotide ribosomal RNA is filed under the name Rakaia n. sp. Hineway. RNAcentral's name for it is "partial 16S ribosomal RNA". The record is from RNAcentral. Lineage: Eukaryota; Metazoa; Arthropoda; Arachnida; Opiliones; Pettalidae.
UUCUUUUAGGAUUAAAUAAAAGUAUAUUUUGCUCAAUGAUUAAUUAAAUAGCUGCAUAUAUUUGUACUAAGGUAGCAUAAUCAAUUGUCUAUUAAUUGUAGACUUGUAUGAAAGAAUGAAUAAUUAGUAACUUUAUUUAUAAUAAUAGUUGAAUUUUGAAUUUUAGUAAUAAUACUAAAAUUUAUUAUAGGGACGAGAAGACCCUAUAAAGCUUAAAAUAAAUGGUUAUUAUAAAUAAUAAUUUAUUUUAGAUUGGGGCAAUUUUUUAUAAUAAAAAAUAUAAAAAAAUAUUUUAAAUAUAUUUGAUCCUUUAUUAAAGAGAAUUUGAAUAAGUUACUUUAGGGAUAACAGUAUAAUUUUUAUUUAAAAGUACAAAUUAACAGUAAAGAUUAUAACCUCGAUGUUGAAUUAAUUAU